UACGUAGGGUGCAAGCGUUAAUCGGAAUUACUGGGCGUAAAGCGUGCGCAGGCGGUGAUGUAAGACAGAUGUGAAAUCCCCGGGCUCAACCUGGGAACUGCAUUUGUGACUGCAUCGCUGGAGUGUGGCAGAGGGGGGUGGAAUUCCGCGUGUAGCAGUGAAAUGCGUAGAGAUGCGGAGGAACACCGAUGGCGAAGGCAGCCCCCUGGGCUAACACUGACGCUGAGGCACGAAAGCGUGGGGAGCAAACAGG
This 253-nucleotide ribosomal RNA is filed under the name uncultured bacterium. RNAcentral's name for it is "partial 16S ribosomal RNA". It matches the Rfam family "Bacterial small subunit ribosomal RNA", at positions 524 to 776 of the family's 1533-position model. The record is from RNAcentral.